Molecule: unclassified non-coding RNA, 26 nt
Filed under: Mus musculus (house mouse)
Lineage: Eukaryota; Metazoa; Chordata; Mammalia; Rodentia; Muridae
Description: oocyte_clustered_small_RNA11425
Source: RNAcentral
UCGGUGGAGCUAGAUGAACACAGCUC